RNAcentral lists this ribosomal RNA (265 nucleotides) under uncultured archaeon. RNAcentral's name for it is "partial 16S ribosomal RNA". It matches the Rfam family "Archaeal small subunit ribosomal RNA", at positions 717 to 982 of the family's 1478-position model. The record is from RNAcentral.
ACAGUCACUGACAUUAGAUACCCGGGUAGUCCAGGGUGUAAACGCUGCAGACUUGGUGUUGGGAACCCUUCGGGGGUGCUCAGUGCCGGAGAGAAGUUGUUAAGUCUGCUACUUGGGAGUACGUCCGCAAGGAUGAAACUUAAAGGAAUUGGCGGGGGAGCACCGCAACGGGAGGAGCGUGCGGUUUAAUUGGAUUCAACGCCGAAAACUCGCCAGCAGCGACUGUUACAUGAAAGUCAGGUUGAUGACCUUACUAGAUUUUCAG